RNAcentral lists this ribosomal RNA (301 nucleotides) under uncultured bacterium. Its description in RNAcentral is "partial 16S ribosomal RNA". It matches the Rfam family "Bacterial small subunit ribosomal RNA", at positions 509 to 807 of the family's 1533-position model. The record is from RNAcentral.
CAGUAGCCGCGGUAAUACGAAGGAUGCAAGCGUUACUCGGAAUUACUGGGCGUAAAGCGUGCGUAGGUGGUGGUUUAAGUCCGUUGUGAAAGCCCUGGGCUCAACCUGGGAAUUGCAGUGGAUACUGGGUCACUAGAGUGUGGUAGAGGAUAGUGGAAUUUCCGGUGUAGCAGUGAAAUGCGUAGAGAUCGGAAGGAACAUCUGUGGCGAAGGCGACUAUCUGGGCCAACACUGACACUGAGGCACGAAAGCGUGGGGAGCGAACAGGAUUAGAUACCCCGGUAGUCCCUGUCUCUUAUAC